UACGGGGGGGGCAAGCGUUGUUCGGAAUUACUGGGCGUAAAGGGCUCGUAGGUGGCCGACUAAGUCAGACGUGAAAUCCCUCGGCUUAACCGGGGAACUGCGUCUGAUACUGGAUGGCUUGAGUUCGGGAGAGGGAUGCGGAAUUCCAGGUGUAGCGGUGAAAUGCGUAGAUAUCUGGAGGAACACCGGUGGCGAAGGCGGCAUCCUGGACCGACACUGACGCUGAGGAGCGAAAGCCAGGGGAGCAAACGGG
RNAcentral lists this ribosomal RNA (253 nucleotides) under uncultured bacterium. RNAcentral's name for it is "partial 16S ribosomal RNA". It matches the Rfam family "Bacterial small subunit ribosomal RNA", at positions 524 to 776 of the family's 1533-position model. The record is from RNAcentral.